UCGGAAACGGACGCUAAUACCGCAUACGUCCUACGGGAGAAAGCAGGGGACCUUCGGGCCUUGCGCUAUCAGAUGAGCCUAGGUCGGAUUAGCUAGUUGGUGAGGUAAUGGCUCACCAAGGCGACGAUCCGUAACUGGUCUGAGAGGAUGAUCAGUCACACUGGAACUGAGACACGGUCCAGACUCCUACGGGAGGCAGCAGUGGGGAAUA
This 211-nucleotide ribosomal RNA is filed under the name Mesorhizobium sp. RNAcentral's name for it is "partial 16S ribosomal RNA". It matches the Rfam family "Bacterial small subunit ribosomal RNA", at positions 150 to 363 of the family's 1533-position model. The record is from RNAcentral. Lineage: Bacteria; Pseudomonadati; Pseudomonadota; Alphaproteobacteria; Hyphomicrobiales; Phyllobacteriaceae.